This 445-nucleotide ribosomal RNA is filed under the name uncultured bacterium. RNAcentral describes it as "partial 16S ribosomal RNA". It matches the Rfam family "Bacterial small subunit ribosomal RNA", at positions 354 to 796 of the family's 1533-position model. The record is from RNAcentral.
GUAGGGAAUAUUGGGCAAUGGAUGCAAGUCUGACCCAGCCAUGCCGCGUGGAGGAAGAAGGUCCUCUGGAUUGUAAACUCCUUUUUUGGGGGAAGAAUAGUUCUCUUGCGAGGGAAUGUGACGGUACCCUAAGAAUAAGCCACGGCUAACUACGUGCCAGCAGCCGCGGUAAUACGUAGGUGGCAAGCGUUGUCCGGAUUUAUUGGGUUUAAAGGGUGCGUAGGUGGUUUGAUAAGUCAGUGGUGAAAGCUGGUUGCUCAACAAUCAAGUUGCCAUUGAUACUGUCGGACUUGAGAGAAGUGGAGGGUCAUGGAAUGGAUGGUGUAGCGGUGAAAUGCAUAGAUAUCAUCCAGAACGUCGAUUGCGAAGGCAGUGGGCUGUACUUUAUCUGACACUGAGGCACGAAAGUGUGGGGAUCAAACAGGAUUAGAAACCCGAGUAGUCC